CCUUCUUUUGGACUAAGUUUCAAAUUUUGAAACAUGAAAAUUCAAAGGUGGAGUUAAUUUUAAAAGAAAAUGUCCAAAAAUUAUGAAAACAACUUUUUGAUUCGAAUCAUGGCAGGAGUAAAUUUUAUGACCACAAAAAAAAAUUUUAAGCAAUAAAAUUUCUAAAUUUCAUGACAUAUAUUCUAUUAUAUAUAUAUAAAACCGGAGCAACCGCGUUAAGGCAUCUCCAUUCGACACGUGGUUAAACAGUUGCAUGACACAUCACUAAAAAAAAAAAGGCUCGGUCUUGCGUCCGCUUUUCUCCCCGAACGAUGAAGAGAGGGCCGGCCCCUCAACUCCCCACUACCAUGACUACUCCGACGAUGCCGUUCACGUUCCCGAAUCAUGCCCUCACAACUCUCUUGUGCGCUGUCAAAACACCACGCGGAAGAGGAGAAAGAAAAGACCUAACGCUAGAUUCAGCAAGAAGGGGACGAGUGAAGAAACCUUGAGCCUCACCCCAGGAGUUGGAGAAAUUUACAAUUUUUCCCUCUAAGUUUCUUCUCCCCUCCCUCCUCUAUCCAGCGAGCCCUCCAGAGAAAAAAACCCUCACAACGAGUUCGUGAUGCGCUUUCGUUUGUUUUCCUGCUCUCCCUCUCUCCUCCCCCUCCUGCUCUCUCUCUCCUGUCUCCCCUCUCUCCGCCAACCCCGGCCUUUUAUUUCUUUUUCAUUUUAAUUUGAGUUUUUAUUUUUGAUUUAUUUAAGUUUUGGUUGGGUUCGAUGGCUCGGGGUGAGGUGUUGGGUUUGAGCCUGGCAACUGUUGGGCGGAGACGAACCGGGUCCGCACGGGCUAGGGGUGGGACGCCUUUGUUUUAUUUUGGGCGGCGGAGCAAAUGGGAACCGUUGAAUCAGAUGUCGCAGAUUGAUGACAUGGACCAUUUGGACGGUAGAUGUGGGUUUGAGUGCGUUGUGUUUCUUUUGUGAGAGAGAGAAAAAGAAGCGCGUUAGCGGGGAUUUUUUUUUCUUUCUUUCUUUUUUUCUGAGUUGUGGUGGGAGACUUGGGAAAGUAGAUAAUAUCAGUGGAGAAAGCGUGAGCUCCUCUCCAUCGACAACAUAAAAUCAACGAUUAAUGGGUGCAUGUCUCCUCCCACCAGCAAAUGGAUGGGUGGUCACAAAGCUGUUAAGUGGAAAGACUUUAACAAAAUGGUUGCACGGACAUAAGGAGAGGCAAAGAGAAAGGUCAAUACCUCUUCCCCCUUUGAAAGAAAGGUUAAAGAAGGCGUUGGAAGUUGCUCAGGCAGUGCAAUAUCUUCAUGAACAAAAACCCAUGGUCAUCCACAGAGAUUUGAAGCCAAGUAACGUACUCCUGGAUGAUUGUUCGCAUGUUCGGGUGGCUGACUUUGGGCAUGCUCGGUUCCUACCUGAGGGAGAGGUAGCACUGGCAGGUGAAAUAGGUAAAGGAAGGAGAUGGGCCUAACAGGUUCGGAUUUUGGGUCCCAAUCCGAUCUGAAAUCCGGCUGGAUCCAUUUAUUUAAACAA
RNAcentral lists this long non-coding RNA (1518 nucleotides) under Elaeis guineensis (African oil palm). RNAcentral's name for it is "long non-coding RNA (EGUI_LNC001288)". The record is from RNAcentral. Lineage: Eukaryota; Viridiplantae; Streptophyta; Magnoliopsida; Arecales; Arecaceae.